GGGGAUGUAAUGGCUUCGACAUGUUGGAGGUUUUCUUAACAUCAGUAGUUUGGCAAACUAUAAUGCUUCUAGGCUUUAGAAUCGCAGAAGAUAAAAAAGCAGUUGAAUCUAAAAUUCAACCAUUAUUAGUUGCUCAACAAGCAACUUUUUCAAAUCUUGCUUUUGCUUAGUUAAUAGCGGCAAGUGGUUUAUGAAUUUUAGCUCUAAGUUCAUAAAUUUGGUUAAGAGCGAAGUUUGAAGUUGAUUAAACUUUAUUACUAGUGGUUAUUGUUAUUUUUAGAAACUAGUAAUUAAUCAAAAAGUAACUAAACUGUAAAAAGUGUUAUUUAAGUUUCUUAUGUGGACACGGGUUCGACUCCCGUCAUCUCCACCA
Molecule: transfer-messenger RNA, 373 nt
Filed under: Mycoplasmopsis meleagridis
Lineage: Bacteria; Bacillati; Mycoplasmatota; Mycoplasmoidales; Metamycoplasmataceae
Also listed under: 1 other name
Description: Standard tmRNA
Rfam family: transfer-messenger RNA
About the family: Bacterial tmRNA, also known as 10Sa RNA or SsrA, is named for its dual tRNA and mRNA-like properties. Its role is to liberate the mRNA from a stalled ribosome.
Source: RNAcentral